Molecule: small nuclear RNA, 22 nt
Filed under: Arabidopsis thaliana (thale cress)
Lineage: Eukaryota; Viridiplantae; Streptophyta; Magnoliopsida; Brassicales; Brassicaceae
Description: snRNA_04402
Source: RNAcentral
CCUGGAAAUUCGUUUUGAGGUA